RNAcentral lists this ribosomal RNA (52 nucleotides) under Nakaseomyces glabratus. Its description in RNAcentral is "[Candida] glabrata partial 28S ribosomal RNA". The record is from RNAcentral. Lineage: Eukaryota; Fungi; Ascomycota; Saccharomycetes; Saccharomycetales; Saccharomycetaceae.
UAAGUUUGACCUCAAAUCANGUAGGGUUACCCGCUGAACUUAAGCAUAUCAU